AAAUCACCAAAUCACCUUCUUCCUUACACUCGAUUUCCACCAAAUCACCAAAUCUCUUCGAUUUCUCUUACCCUCGUCGCCGCCCCAGCCUUCUCCACCAAAUCUCUUCAAUUUCCCUUACCCUCGUCGCCGCCCCAGCCUUCGAUCCAGCCUUCUCCGGCCGCCGUCGGCUCUCGCCGCCCCGUCUCCUUCGAUCGACAGCCCGCCGCCCUCACCUAGCCUUUCCCGGACGACUCCGUCUGACGACUCCACAGCAGCAGCAGUUUCCAAU
Molecule: long non-coding RNA, 271 nt
Filed under: Salvia miltiorrhiza (redroot sage)
Lineage: Eukaryota; Viridiplantae; Streptophyta; Magnoliopsida; Lamiales; Lamiaceae
Description: long non-coding RNA (SMIL_LNC000145)
Source: RNAcentral